Molecule: long non-coding RNA, 796 nt
Filed under: Mytilus galloprovincialis (Mediterranean mussel)
Lineage: Eukaryota; Metazoa; Mollusca; Bivalvia; Mytilida; Mytilidae
Source: RNAcentral
CUCCAGUGCCGUUUACUAUCCAUAUCCGUUUUUGUCCUUAAACAGACGAUGAAAUCAAGCAUUCACCAAUCUUAAAAUCAAUCAAUGUACUGACAAAACAUCGGAUGACUACAAGUUCUUUUGGGUGGUGACAAGCACUUGUAUCAGAAAAAAAAUCGCAUCUCUAUACCCAACAGUUAGGUUAAGGUACACCUCACAGACACAUGUUUUCCGGAGACAAGUUCCUGUGUGGAUAAUGAAUAAAUGACCGGGAAUUCAACCUCACUGUAACAACUAUUAUAUUGUUAAUCAGUAUACUCUAGUUUGUUUUUAUACAUGUACAUGUAUAUUAUAUUAAAGUCGUACGAAACCUCUAAUAAAAAAAGAUGCAUAUGUUUUUUUUAUAACAAUAAGUAUAGUUUUCAUGCUAAAACUUAUGUACUUGAUUGAUUGCUUACAAUAAGGCGACAAGCUGUAAACUACGGCUUCAUAAUACGACAAAAUAUAUGUAUAACAGUUAUAUGUAAUUUUUAUUUUUCCUUAUGUCAUUCUUUUCUACUAGUAUUCUCAUGAUAAUUCAGUGGAAGAGCAUAGUGGUUAUUCUUUUGAAAUAAUUAGUUUUUCUAAGAUAUAUUGGAUUUGAGUAAGUAGAUUUGAGUAGGCAUUCAAAUUUUCUCGCAAUUUUUGGAAAACCUUUUUGAGAUAUUCUUCCGCAACGCUAACACAAAUUAUUGGUAUCCUUGAUUUAAUAUUGAUACUAUAUUUGUAACGACAAACAUUUUCACAUCAUUUAUCUACAUGACUGUUCCUUAAAAAU